AAAGAUCGAAUGGGGAGAUUCAUCGACGACGUGGCUGGCUUCCGUUGGUGCGCAGAUACCCCGCAGUGGGCCAUUACUGGUUCCAAUGCGAGGGUACACCAUCUUCGGUGGUUAAUUUUGAAACAUGAUAGCUCCGGCUACGUAGUCGUGCACUUCUCCCUUAGUAGAACGUCGCGACCCGUUGCGUGUCGGUCUACGGCCCGAGAUGGUGCCUGUCGUGUCGCUUCCGGCGCACACGGCAGACUCUCGGUUGUCUGGCCGGCUGCGUGACGGUACUCUGACGGUAUCGGGCCGCAACCAAUCCAUUUUCGAAUGUAUGUGCGUCAGGCCCGCCGCUUCAAUUUCUAUCCCGUUGGUACGGACCAUGUGCCGGCUUCGGAGCUAGAAAAAUUGUUAGCCGGCGGUGUCCUUGGACUGGCCAAGCUUUGAAUUACCGGUCAGCGACGCUACUGCUUUGGGUACUCUCAGGACCCGUCUUGAAACACGGACCAAGGAGUCUAACAUGUGCGCGAGUCAUUGGGAUAUGUAAACCUAAAGGCGGAAUGAAAGUGAAAGUCGCAUCUUUGCAUCGACCGAGGGAGGAUGGGCCGCGUUACGAUGCGGCCCCGCACUCCCGGGGCGUCUCGUUCUCAUUGCGAGAAGAG
RNAcentral lists this ribosomal RNA (644 nucleotides) under Caenohalictus mourei. RNAcentral's name for it is "eukaryotic LSU rRNA". It matches the Rfam family "Eukaryotic large subunit ribosomal RNA", at positions 583 to 789 of the family's 3401-position model. The record is from RNAcentral. Lineage: Eukaryota; Metazoa; Arthropoda; Insecta; Hymenoptera; Halictidae.